RNAcentral lists this ribosomal RNA (468 nucleotides) under uncultured bacterium. Its description in RNAcentral is "partial 16S ribosomal RNA". It matches the Rfam family "Bacterial small subunit ribosomal RNA", at positions 28 to 507 of the family's 1533-position model. The record is from RNAcentral.
GACGAACGCUGGCGGCGUGCUUAACACAUGCAAGUCGAACGGAAAGGCCCUGCGUUUGUGGUGUUCUCGAGUGGCGAACGGGUGAGUAACACGUGUGUAACCUGCUCUUCAUUUUCGGAUAACUUCAGGAAACUGGGGCUCAUACCGGAUAGGAGCUCCUGCUGCAUGGUGGGGGUUGGAAAGUUGCGGCGGUUGGGGAUGGACUCGCGGCUUAUGAUCUUGUUGGUGGGGUAGUGGCUUACCAAGGCUUUGACGGGUAGCCGGCCUGGGAGGGUGACCGGCGACAUUGGGACUGAGAUACGGCCCAGACUCCUACGGGAGGCAGCAGUGGGGAAUAUUGCACAGUGGGCGCAAGCCUGAUGCAGCAACGCCGCGUGCGGGAUGCCGGCCUUCGGGUUGUGAACCGCUUUCGCCUGUGACGCAGCGUGAGUGACGGUAAUGGGUAAAGAAGCACCGGCUAACUACGUG